GAAUUGUGGACUGUGAAUUAUACCCAAACAGCACGAAUCGUGGAACACAUUCGUACAAAACCAUAACUGUAUAAAUAAAAUGACGCAAGCACGAACUUGUUAGAUAUAUGACAGUACAAUUGAAAUCAAAAAGUCGGCGAACAUACACUUAGAUUUACCCAUGGCUUUUUUAAUGAAAAACAGCACAAACACCUUCUGUCCCAAUACCCUUAAUAGAGCUAUUAAACAUCUUCUCCUUUUUGGUUAAGUUCAUGUUUUACAUAUUAAUUAUAUUUGCAUCUAUAAGAAGAAUCAUAAAAGCACCAACCCUUUCGUUUUCAAUACAGUUUCAUUUUAUUCUGAACUCGUAAUUCUUUAGUUGCAUAUUUGUUUCAUUUUAUGGAGACAAAAAAAUGGUCGCUUAAAAAGACACUAAAUUUGGUGAAGAUAGUCCAACUGAGGGGAGCAUUCUUCUUUUAUGUUUUUGCUGUUUAGGCUUCUAAAGCAGCUAUUACAUGUUGAACAGUGGUUGCCAAUUAGAGAUUUUUAUUCAUGUUAAGAUUUGAAAUAUUAUGUACCAUUCCUUAUAUAUGUAUAUACAUAAUAUAAACUUAUUAUUACUCUUGCAUAUUGAAGAACACGUCACAAGAGGGUUUCAUAAGAAAUAAAAAUUAAAAAACAAAAUCCUCCCACCCGCCCCAUUUUUUUCAAAAAUUUGGAUGAAAAUCUACUAAUUUAUUUUAGUUGGCCUAA
This 732-nucleotide long non-coding RNA is filed under the name Mytilus galloprovincialis (Mediterranean mussel). Lineage: Eukaryota; Metazoa; Mollusca; Bivalvia; Mytilida; Mytilidae. The record is from RNAcentral.